Molecule: long non-coding RNA, 945 nt
Organism: Bicyclus anynana (squinting bush brown)
Lineage: Eukaryota; Metazoa; Arthropoda; Insecta; Lepidoptera; Nymphalidae
Exons: 2
Source: RefSeq, a predicted model, not a curated record
AAAUUUUAAUAAAAAAAAUUCAACCGACUUCCAACUCAAAAAUUAACCUAAACUAAAAAGCAAAAAAUAACAUCUUACCUAUGUGCUACCUUCUGAUCAGUUUGAAGGCGGUGCCAAGCCAGUGAUGUUUUAAUUCAAGCCGUUUAUAUAACACAAUUUCUGUGGUUCUUUCAGAAACGGCUUUAAUUAAAACAUGACACUGGAUUGGCACCGCCUUCAAACUGAUCAGAAGGUAGCACAUAGGUAAGAUGUUAUUUUUUGCUUUUUAGUUUAGGUUAAUUUUUGAGUUGGAAGUCGGUUGAAUUUUUUUUAUUAAAAUUUUUAUUUUUUAAUUUUUAGUGUUAGCAGACCUAACUGAGUGUGAACAAAAAUUAAUGAGCAAUUAGUUGAAACGUUAUUUUCGUAUGAUAAGUAUGUAAGGCCUACAAUCCCAAUUUAAAUAUAAAGACUACCUUAACUCAUAUACAAAAUUUCACUCCCCCCUUAUCCACACGUAAUAUGAAUAUUCAGAAAAACGUGAAAGGUGACUGUCCUCCGUCUUCAUCACCAGACCCCUAUGCAGUCACAAUCUAUAUGGGUGGAAAGUUCUCAUCAAUAUAAAAUUUAUCAAGUCCAAACACAAGGUAGCUACUGUGAACCGUCGAGGAGUUCCCUUAACUAUCCUUCAUCUUCAUCACCAAACCUCUAAUACAGUCACAACCUAUCCAGGUGGAAAGUUCUCAUCAAUACAAAUUUAUCAAGUCCAAACACAAGGUAGCUACUGUGAACCGUCGAGGAGUUCUCUUCACUGUCCUUCGUCUUCAUCAUCAGACCCUUAAUACAGUCACAACCAUCUAGGUGGAAAGUUCUCAUCAAUACAAAUAAAUCAAGCCCAAACAAAAGGUACCUGCUGUAAAUCGUUGACGAGUUCCAUCGUCUGUGUAUCGGCUCCAUCAUCAGACCAAC